AUAAGUAUGCUUGACCCAAAUUUAGGAAGUUGAUAAGUAGUAAUAUUUAUUUUUACAACUCUAGUUUUAAUCCUAAAUUACCCCGUACUUAUCUAUAUAGCAGUAUAAAUAUUAACUAGUAUAGUGUAAGAUAACAAGGAAGACCGGUGUUAAUCAACAGAGGCGUGGUGUGAUUCUUCCGUGUGCAAGCAGGGCAUCACCUGUGUUAAAGUUACAAUACAGAAUAGAGUCUUAGACUAAUAAAAGUGGAAGAAGCCUCUGCACUAUUAUAGUAUAGGGUGCCUAUUGUUAAAGAGGUUUAUAAUUAUUCGUACUUGUUGCUAUAUAUUCUUCGGGGGAUCUCUUAAUUAAGAUUAAUAAGGAGCAGCGACGAGUCAAUUUUUGGAUUGAUUAUUAUUAUCGAGGUAAUCAGGGGUAGCGGGGAGAGUGAUGAGUGACACCCACUCUAGUUUCUUUUUUGUUAGGGGCUAAUAAGACUUUAGAACUUAUAUUCAUGUUGAUCUAAGACUUUGUUGGAUUUAUUAUUAUGCAGUUUCAGACUUUAUUAUGACAAUUGGUUU
This is a long non-coding RNA of Daucus carota subsp. sativus, 560 nucleotides long. RefSeq lists it as uncharacterized. The record is from RefSeq and is a predicted model, not a curated record. NCBI's taxonomy places the organism in Eukaryota, Viridiplantae, Streptophyta, Magnoliopsida, Apiales, Apiaceae. The transcript is spliced from 4 exons.